Molecule: ribosomal RNA, 392 nt
Filed under: uncultured bacterium
Lineage: Bacteria
Description: partial 16S ribosomal RNA
Rfam family: Bacterial small subunit ribosomal RNA
Source: RNAcentral
AUACGGAGGAUCCGAGCGUUAUCCGGAUUUAUUGGGUUUAAAGGGUGCGCAGGCGGCCAUUUAAGUCAGCGGUUAAAUCGUGGGGCUCAACCCCAUUCUGCCGUUGAUACUGGGUGGCUUGAUUGCGGUCGAGGUUGGCGGAAUUCGUUGUGUAGCGGUGAAAUGCAUAGAUAUGACGAAGAACACCGAUUGCGUAGGCAGCUGACCAGACCGCAAAUGACGCUCAUGCACGAAAGUGCGGGGAUAGAACAGGAUUAGAUACCCUGGUAGUCCGCACAGUAAACGAUGAAUACUUGUUUUCGGCGAUAUAAUGUCGGAGGCAAAGCGAAAGCGAUAAGUAUUCCACCUGGGGAGUACGCCGGCAACGGUGAAACUCAAAUGAAUUGACGGGG